Molecule: transfer RNA, 86 nt
Filed under: Lentinula edodes (shiitake mushroom)
Lineage: Eukaryota; Fungi; Basidiomycota; Agaricomycetes; Agaricales; Omphalotaceae
Description: tRNA-Phe
Source: RNAcentral
GGGGGUAUAGCUCAGCUGGGAGAGCAGCAGACUGAAGUUAUGAUUAGCCGUUCUGAAGGUCCCGCGUUCGAUCCGCGGUACCCCCA